UACUAGAGUAGCACUCGCAUAUCAAUAAGCGGAGGAAAAGAAACUAACAAGGAUUCCCUUAGUAACGGCGAGUGAAGCGGGAAGAGCUCAAAUUUGAAAUCUUCAAGGUUUUACCUUGACGAAUUGUAGUUUAAAGGAGUGUUUUCUGUUGGAGUUUUGGUAAAAGUUCUUUGGAAUAGGACAUCAUAGAGGGUGAGAAUCCCGUAUUUGACCAUUAUUUCCAGCUGUGUGAUACACUUUCAAAGAGUCGGAUUGUUUGGGAAUGCAGUCCAAAAUGGGUGGUAAAUUUCAUCUAAAGCUAAAUAUUGGCGAGAGACCGAUAGCGAACAAGUACCGUGAGGGAAAGAUGAAAAGAACUUUGAAAAGAGAGUUAAACAGUACGUGAAAUUGUCAAAAGGGAAGCGUUUGACACCAGUGUUGUUUUUCCGAAAAUCAAUUACGAAUGUUUUAUUUUUGAGGAGCUUAUGACUUCAUCGGCUUGCUCCUUUCUUUAUGAAACUUUCUUAAUGCACUUUUCGGUUAACAAGUCAACAUCAAUUUCCUUUGCUGUAAAAGGGUAUGAGGAAGGUGGCUUCAUUUCGGUUGAAGUGUUUAUAGCCUUUUAUCUCUGCAGUCGGGGAGAUUGAGGUCUGCAGCGUAGAUCCUUCGGGGCUAGAUACAUUUAUGCUAAGUUAUAGCUUUUCAUAGACAACUUGUUGACUAUGUUAAGUCUUGUAAUUUACUCGCAGAUGCUAUAUUACCUACGCUUAGGAUGUUGAUAGUCACAGCGUGUAC
This 774-nucleotide ribosomal RNA is filed under the name uncultured Neocallimastigales. RNAcentral's name for it is "partial large subunit ribosomal RNA". It matches the Rfam family "Eukaryotic large subunit ribosomal RNA", at positions 20 to 644 of the family's 3401-position model. Lineage: Eukaryota; Fungi; Neocallimastigomycota; Neocallimastigomycetes; Neocallimastigales. The record is from RNAcentral.